GACGAACGCGGCGGCGUGCUUAACACAUGCAAGUCGAACGAAGAGCGAUGGAAGCUUGCUUCUAUCAAUCUUAGUGGCGAACGGGUGAGUAACGCGUAAUCAACCUGCCCUUCAGAGGGGGACAACAGUUGGAAACGACUGCUAAUACCGCAUACGAUCUAACCUCGGCAUCGAGGAAAGAUGAAAGGUGGCCUCUAUGUAUAAGCUAUCACUGAAGGAGGGGAUUGCGUCUGAUUAGCUAGUUGGAGGGGUAACGGCCCACCAAGGCGAUGAUCAGUAGCCGGUCUGAGAGGAUGAACGGCCACAUUGGGACUGAGACACGGCCCAGACUCCUACGGGAGGCAGCAGUGGGGAAUCUUCCGCAAUGGACGAAAGUCUGACGGAGCAACGCCGCGUGAGUGAUGACGGCCUUCGGGUUGUAAAGCUCUGUUAAUCGGGACGAAGGGCCUUCUUGCGAAUAGUAGAAGGA
RNAcentral lists this ribosomal RNA (469 nucleotides) under Veillonella parvula. Its description in RNAcentral is "bacterial SSU rRNA". It matches the Rfam family "Bacterial small subunit ribosomal RNA", at positions 28 to 468 of the family's 1533-position model. The record is from RNAcentral. Lineage: Bacteria; Bacillati; Bacillota; Negativicutes; Veillonellales; Veillonellaceae.